UUCACUCAAUAAAUAGCCUUCAAGCCCCUACACCAAUUUCUUCCACCAGGAGACGUGGCAAUGCCUGAAGACAUUUCUGUUUGGCUCAGUGUGGCCUGGGAUGGGAGGUGGGGUGUGGCAUGCUCUGUCACCUAGCGGGCUGAUGGCAAGGUGAGGCAGACAUUCUAGAGUGCAUGGGAUAACUGCCCUGGAACACGAAGUAGCUGGUCCCACGUAUCAGUAGUGGUGUGGUGGAGAAACUGCCCUACUCAAUGCCUAGUGCAAGAGAUAUCAAGAUGAGACCCUGCCCACGGGAGACUCACAAUGAAGAUAUAUUUUCGAAAUCUUAUCUAUCCUGUUAAACAGACCCAGAAGCAUACUGGCUAUUUCCACCAGUUCCAAAUAUAGGAUGUGUGAAGGACACUUCCUCUGCCCAGCUGUUCGCCAUUUGCUCCUGUUGCCUUUGGAGAUGAUGCUUUAGGGUGCAUGCAAACAAAAAGGAGAAAGUCAAGGUCAUGUUUCAUUGGCUCUACAAUGACUAUGCACUGAUGGUGGAUUUAUCCAAAUAUUUAUAAUAUGCUGGAGACUGCUCAAACAGUUAGGCAGCUUGUCAAUUCUCUAAUGACUGAGGCAUCCUAAGUUUGGAAAGCGGAAGUCUAGUUGUCUCUGAGAGCUGAAGGGCAAGCACACACAUGUUGGUAUUUCGAUGGGAUUGGUACCAAAUAUUUAUUGAGCAACUACUACGAGCAGGACAAUUUAUGGGAAGAGGGAAAAAGUGCUAAAGAUAAAUAUAACAGAAUCAAGGUUUAAGUACAAAAAAAGGGAAGGAUUCCAGUUGGGUGAAUCAGGA
Sapajus apella (tufted capuchin) is the source of this 829-nucleotide long non-coding RNA. RefSeq lists it as uncharacterized. The transcript is spliced from 4 exons. The record is from RefSeq and is a predicted model, not a curated record. Lineage: Eukaryota; Metazoa; Chordata; Mammalia; Primates; Cebidae.